Molecule: ribosomal RNA, 431 nt
Filed under: uncultured bacterium
Lineage: Bacteria
Description: bacterial SSU rRNA
Rfam family: Bacterial small subunit ribosomal RNA
Source: RNAcentral
GCGAACGCUGGCGGCAGGCCUAAAACAUGCAAGUCGAACGCCGUAGCAAUACGGAGUGGCAGACGGGUGAGUAACACGUGGGAACGUGCCUUUUGGUUCGGAACAACCCAGGGAAACUUGGGCUAAUACCGGAUAAGCCCUUCGGGGGAAAGAUUUAUCGCCAGAAGAUCGGCCCGCGUCUGAUUAGCUAGUUGGUGGGGUAAUGGCCCACCAAGGCUACGAUCAGUAGCUGGUCUGAGAGGAUGAUCAGCCACACUGGGACUGAGACACGGCCCAGACUCCUACGGGAGGCAGCAGUUAGGAAUCUUGGACAAUGGGCGCAAGCCUGAUCCAGCCAUGCCGCGUGAGUGAUGAAGGCCUUAGGGUUGUAAAGCUCUUUCAGCGGGGAAGAUAAUGACGGUACCCGCAGAAGAAGCCCCGGCUAACUUCGU